RNAcentral lists this ribosomal RNA (396 nucleotides) under Triticum aestivum (bread wheat). RNAcentral's name for it is "partial small subunit ribosomal RNA". Lineage: Eukaryota; Viridiplantae; Streptophyta; Magnoliopsida; Poales; Poaceae. The record is from RNAcentral.
AUGUUGCUUUGGAAUAUUUGGAAAGCGAGGAAUAAUCUUCUUUUUAAUAAGAAAAAAUGGAGUAUUAUGCAGGUUAUAUAUGCUACAAACGCUAUGCUAAAUGCGGAGCUAAUGGAGGAGAAGGCGGCGGCUCACAUCAACCCUGCAAACAAUAAUAUUUCUCCUUUUCACGUUCAAAAUAUACAGUUCCAAAAUGCAGGUCUUUUGGCGUACAGUGAUGCUGCGUACAAUCCGGAAAUUGCAAAAGAAGAAGCUGGUCUUGGAGUUCUUCUUAGAAAUGUUAGUAACAACCAUACUGUAUUUGUUCAAGCUGCUGCAAAAAAUGUUUGCUCUGUUUUGCAGGCUGAAGCUAUUGGAUUAUCACUGUCGGCUGAGGUGGUUAAAGCUCUAGGAUGA